AUCCUACGGGAGGCAGCAGUGAGGAAAUUGGUCAAUGGACGUAAGUCUGAACCAGCCAUCCCGCGUGCAGGAAGAAGGCGCUAUGCGUCGUAAACUGCUUUUCCAGGGGAAGAAAACCCGCUACGUGUAGCGGCUUGCCGGUACCCUGGGAAUAAGCAUCGGCUAACUCCGUGCCAGCAGCCGCGGUAAUACGGAGGAUGCGAGCGUUAUCCGGAUUUAUUGGGUUUAAAGGGUGCGUAGGCGGAUUAAUAAGUCAGUGGUGAAAACCUUCAGCUUAACUGGAGACUUGCCAUUGAUACUGUUAGUCUUGAGUACGGUCAAGGUAGGCGGAAUGUGUAAUGUAGCGGUGAAAUGCUUAGAUAUUACACAGAACACCGAUUGCGAAGGCAGCUUACUGGGCCAUUACUGACGCUGAGGCACGAAAGCGUGGGGAGCGAACAGGAUUAGAUACCCUGGUAGUCCACGCCGUAAACGAUGAUCACUCGCUGUUGGCGAUACACAGUCAGCGGCUAAGCAAAAGCAUUAAGUGAUCCACCUGGGGAGUACGGCCGCAAGGCUGAAACUCAAAGGAAUUGACGGGGGCCCGCACAAGCGGAGGAACAUGUGGUUUAAUUCGAUGAUACGCGAGGAACCUUACCUGGGCUUAAAUGUAGAGUGCAUGGGGUAGAAAUAUCCUUUCCUCGGGACUCUUACAAGGUGCUGCAUGUGUCGUCAGCUCGUGCCGUGAGGUGUCGGGUUAAGUCCCAUAACGAGCGCAACUAUCGUUAGUUGCCAGCGGGUAAUGCCGGGAACUCUAGCGAAACUGCCGGUGUAAACCGUGAGGAAGGUGGGGAUGACGUCAAAUCAGCACGGCCCUUAUGUCCAGGGCUACACACGUGUUACAAUGGCCGGUACAGAGGGCAGCUACCUGGAGACAGGAUGCGAAUCUCCAAAGCCGGUCUCAGUUCGGAUCGGAGUCUGCAACCCGACUCCGUGAAGCUGGAUUCGCUAGUAAUCGCGCAUCAGCCAUGGCGCGGUGAAUACGUUCCCGGGCCUUGUACACACCGCC
RNAcentral lists this ribosomal RNA (1048 nucleotides) under uncultured Cytophaga sp. Its description in RNAcentral is "bacterial SSU rRNA". It matches the Rfam family "Bacterial small subunit ribosomal RNA", at positions 335 to 1394 of the family's 1533-position model. Lineage: Bacteria; Pseudomonadati; Bacteroidota; Cytophagia; Cytophagales; Cytophagaceae. The record is from RNAcentral.